This is a long non-coding RNA of Carassius auratus (goldfish), 363 nucleotides long. RefSeq lists it as uncharacterized. Lineage: Eukaryota; Metazoa; Chordata; Actinopteri; Cypriniformes; Cyprinidae. The transcript has 2 exons. The record is from RefSeq and is a predicted model, not a curated record.
CUCUUUUUGUCCGAUUCUGUGUUGUCUUUUCAGUUUUUUUCAGCAGCUCAGAAGCAACAUCAGCACGAGAAGAUCAGAAGUUCAUCGACAGGAUGACAAUGACACUUCAAACUAAGAGAUGAGAAAGGAAAUGCAAAUAAUUAAUGCCGUUUUGACAUCCGUUAAUGUGACAGGACAGAUCGCUGCAUAAAAGCCUUGGAGAGCCGCUACUGGGAUGCUUGGUGUAUAAACCCAACACAAGCACUGACCCCAGUGCUGCGAUCAGCUCCGGUGUCUGAGUCGUGAGUGGAGCUCGAGUGAACGUGAUCAUUUCACUUCCUCUCUACUACUAGUUUGAAUGCAAAUAAACCUGUCUGAACAUCU